UACAGAGGGUGCGAGCGUUGUCCGGAAUCACUGGGCGUAAAGGGCGCGUAGGCGGCCGACUAAGUGUGUGGUGAAAGCCCGGGGCUCAACCCCGGGUCUGCCGUGCAAACUGGUUGGCUUGAGCACUGUAGAGGCAGGUGGAAUUCCGGGUGUAGCGGUGGAAUGCGUAGAGAUCCGGAAGAACACCGGUGGCGAAGGCGGCCUGCUGGGCAGUAGCUGACGCUGAGGCGCGACAGCGUGGGGAGCAAACAGGAUUAGAUACCCUGGUAGUCCACGCCGUAAACGAUGGGCACUAGGUGCUUGGGGGAGCGACCCCCUGAGUGCCGUCGCUAACGCAUUAAGUGCCCCGCCUGGGGAGUACGGCCGCAAGGCUGAA
This 376-nucleotide ribosomal RNA is filed under the name uncultured bacterium. Its description in RNAcentral is "bacterial SSU rRNA". It matches the Rfam family "Bacterial small subunit ribosomal RNA", at positions 524 to 898 of the family's 1533-position model. The record is from RNAcentral.